Molecule: ribosomal RNA, 405 nt
Filed under: uncultured eukaryote
Lineage: Eukaryota
Description: SSU rRNA
Rfam family: Eukaryotic small subunit ribosomal RNA
Source: RNAcentral
AGCUCCAAUAGCGUAUAUUAAAGUUGUUGCAGUUAAAAGCUCGUAGUUGAACUUGUGGCCUGGAUAGCUCGGUCUGACGCUUAUGCGUGAGUACCUGAGCCAUCCGACCAUCCUUGGGUGGAACCUGUGUGGCAUUAAGUUGUCGUGCAGGGGAUGCCCAUCGUUUACUGUGAAAAAUUAGAGUGUUCAAAGCAGGCUUAUGCCGUUGAAUAUAUUAGCAUGGAAUAAUGAUAUAGGACUUUGGUACUAUUUUGUUGGUUUGUGCACUAAAGUAAUGAUUAAUAGGGACAGUUGGGGAUAUUAGUAUUCUUAAGUCAGAGGUGAAAUUCUUGGAUUUUUUGUAAGACUAACUACUGCGAAAGCAUUUAUCAAGGAUGUUUUCAUUAAUCAAGAAGAAAGUUGAGC